GUUUACUAUAAAAUUCCACCUAAUACAAUGAAAGAGAUAACAUAAGCUUUUCAUCUCCUAGAUUUGAAGCAAUUUUGUUUUUUUCCCUUCAUUUUCAAAUACAGCAAAAUAUUAAGGAUUGACAAAACUGAGUGAUAGGUACAAGUGUUAGUUAUAUUAGUCUCUACACUUCCCCAUGUGCUUAAAAUAUUUCUUAAUUAGAAAAAAAAAAGCUAUUGCAGAAGUCUACACAAGAGCCAUAGCCCAGGGUGCUGUAACUUGAGGAAGAGAGAGUGGCAUUGAAGAGAGGACUUAAGGUGCCACCACCUGGCUUGAGAAGAGAGACGGCCAUGAGGAUAGCAGAAGCGUGGGGAUGGAUGUGGGGGAAAGAGGAGUGAUGGUCUUCUGUCUGGUGUAGCUGGUGAGAAAGAGGGAAGAAUUGAAAACACACAGGGAUGUACUGCCAGUUUGACUAGGAGAAGCCUGGUGACGAGUGAGUGACAGUGAAAGAUAAGUUAGGAGAAUCAGUUUGGGGAGGAAGAAAAUGAACUUAGGUUUGCAUCUUCAUGCAACUGCAAGACAGUUAACCUUAAGAAGCUGCUGAUGAGCAUCUGGAGCUCAAAAGAGAGAUCAGGACUAGGUCACUUGCUGACCCAGAGGAAAGUGGUCAGAAGGGCUCUGAUUUUUAGGGGGAUAGUUUUGUUCAGGUGAUGAGAGAAAGAAGAGGAUUCCAGGAAGGAGUCAGAGAAGCUACCAGAGAGGCAAAGGACAUACGAGUAUUCUACAAUGUACUAGUCAGGGUUAGCUAGCUGCUGUAAUAAAAAAUGUUAACAAGUUUAUUUCUCACUCCCAUCACAUGGAGGUUGGUGAGGAAGCUCUGCUCUGCUCCACGCAUCACUCAGGAACCCAAGUUUCUUCCAGCUAGUGGCUUUCUUGUCCUUUGGAAUCUCAGAGCCCUCCACUGCAUCCUCUAUACCUAUAGUCCUCGUUAGUCAAGAAGCUG
This 982-nucleotide long non-coding RNA is filed under the name Homo sapiens (human). RNAcentral's name for it is "non-protein coding lnc-TREM2-1:1". The record is from RNAcentral. Lineage: Eukaryota; Metazoa; Chordata; Mammalia; Primates; Hominidae.